Molecule: ribosomal RNA, 482 nt
Filed under: uncultured Acidobacteriota bacterium
Lineage: Bacteria; Pseudomonadati; Acidobacteriota
Description: bacterial SSU rRNA
Rfam family: Bacterial small subunit ribosomal RNA
Source: RNAcentral
AGAGUUUGAUCAUGGCUCAGAAUCAACGCUGGCGGCGCGCUUAACACAUGCAAGUCGAACGGGAAAGUGGAGCAAUCCAUGAGUACAGUGGCGUACGGGUGAGUAACACGUGGGUGAUCUACCUUUUAGUGGGGAAUAACCCUGGGAAACCGGGGCUAAUACCGCAUAAGCCCGAGAGGGGAAAGCAGCAAUGCGCUGAAAGAGGAGCCCGCGGCCGAUUAGCUAGUUGGCAGGGUAAGAGCCUACCAAGGCAGAGAUCGGUAGCCGGCCUGAGAGGGCACACGGCCACACUGGCACUGAAACACGGGCCAGACUCCUACGGGAGGCAGCAGUGGGGAAUCUUGCACAAUGGGGGCAACCCUGAUGCAGCGACGCCGCGUGAGCGAUGAAGCCCUUCGGGGUGUAAAGCUCUUUCGGCAGGGAAGAUGAUGACGGUACCUGCAGAAGCAGCUGCGGCUAACUACGUGCCAGCAGCCGCGGUA